Molecule: ribosomal RNA, 497 nt
Filed under: uncultured bacterium
Lineage: Bacteria
Description: partial 16S ribosomal RNA
Rfam family: Bacterial small subunit ribosomal RNA
Source: RNAcentral
GAUGAACGCUGGCGGCGUGCCUAAUACAUGCAAGUCGAGCGAACAGACGAGGAGCUUGCUCCUCUGACGUUAGCGGCGGACGGGUGAGUAACACGUGGAUAACCUACCUAUAAGACUGGGAUAACUUCGGGAAACCGGAGCUAAUACCGGAUAAUAUAUUGAACCGCAUGGUUCAAUAGUGAAAGACGGUUUUGCUGUCACUUAUAGAUGGAUCCGCGCCGCAUUAGCUAGUUGGUAAGGUAACGGCUUACCAAGGCAACGAUGCGUAGCCGACCUGAGAGGGUGAUCGGCCACACGGGAACUGAGACACGGUCCAGACUCCUACGGGAGGCAGCAGUAGGGAAUCUUCCGCAAUGGGCGAAAGCUUGACGGAGCAACGCCGCGUGAGUGAUGAAGGUCUUCGGAUCGUAAAACUCUGUUAUUAGGGAAGAACAAAUGUGUAAGUAACUAUGCACGUCUUGACGGUACCUAAUCAGAAAGCCACGGCUAACUAUGUG